GCCCAAUCCCAGGCAGGCCAGCAAACCACAGCAAAGUCGAUGUGUAAACUCUGCUGUCCAGGGCUUCCUAGAUAAUGUGGCAAUGGGCCAGUCCAUCAUAACCUCUCUUUUAAGUACUUUGAACUUGAGCUAUGGAGAAUGAGAAGUCAGUAGAAGGAGGUGGAGUGAGACAAAGAGCCACAUCAGAAGACUAUAGGCAGGAGGAAAAUGGACACACGGAAGGUCCAUCUUAUCCUUCUCUGGGACUCCUAUUGCCAAAGGACUUAGAGCCAAAGACUUAAAGCCAAUUUAAACAUUCCAGGCCAGACAGGAAUGGAGGUGAGCACUGAUCCUGAUUUUCUGUGCUUGUCUUUGUUCAGUCCUCCCCACUCUCACUAUGCCAUUCGCUGGAUUUGGUGGUCUCCUCCAAAUUCCUCCUGAGGCUUUAAGCCUCAGGCUUCCAUUAUUAAUUAAUUAAUUCAUUCAUUCAUUCAUUUGCUCAUGCAAUGAGAAUGCAUUGAGCACCUACCAGGCAUCACGAACAGGGUAAGACCUCAGGCUUGGUGCCUCCUUUGACCUUAGUAUCCUUCAUUGCCCACUGUGGUCCCUGGCUUGGUGAGACCUCCCUGCCUUACCUUGUCUCUUCCCAUCUCUCUGGGGUCCCAGCCUGGCCAUUUCUAGGCUCAUAUUAUGCGGGAAGGGUGAGGAAGGAUUUGGAAAUAUGUGCCUCAUUUCAGUAAAGGCUCUGUGGUCAACUUCAGCUUUAGCACCUGGGAGUGAGUCCAUGUGUGUCCCUCAGAUGGGAUGGAUCAGUUUGGGUGAGGGGAUGGGAGAGAAAAGAUCUGCUAUCUUGGGUGCUGAUUAAGGCAGCUCAGUUUGGGGUGGCAGUGAAGGUGGUCCCAGGCACCUAAGUGGAGGUGAGGAGCAUGCAGGUAUAAGUGAAGCAUGGCCUGGUGCCAGUGGCUCAGGCCUGUGAUUCCAACACUUUUGGAGGCUGAGGCAGGAGGAUUGCUUGAAGCCAGGAGCUUGAGACUAGCUUAGGCAACAUAGGGAGAACUUGUCUCUACAAAA
Molecule: long non-coding RNA, 1050 nt
Filed under: Homo sapiens (human)
Lineage: Eukaryota; Metazoa; Chordata; Mammalia; Primates; Hominidae
Description: HSALNT0230601
Source: RNAcentral